RNAcentral lists this ribosomal RNA (817 nucleotides) under uncultured bacterium. Its description in RNAcentral is "bacterial SSU rRNA". It matches the Rfam family "Bacterial small subunit ribosomal RNA", at positions 61 to 860 of the family's 1533-position model. The record is from RNAcentral.
GUCGAGGGGCAGCGGGGCGGCAGGCUUGCCUGCCGCCGCCGGCGACCGGCGCACGGGUGAGUAACACGUAUGCAACCUGCCCGUGGCAGGGGGAUAAGCGGGGGAAACCCCGUCUAAUACCGCGUAACGCGGCCUAGGGACAUCCCAAGGCCGCCAAAGGGAGCAAUCCCGGCCACGGAUGGGCAUGCGGCGCAUUAGCUAGUCGGCGGGGUAACGGCCCACCGAGGCGACGAUGCGUAGGGGUUCUGAGAGGAAGGCCCCCCACACUGGUACUGAGACACGGACCAGACUCCUACGGGAGGCAGCAGUGAGGAAUAUUGGUCAAUGGGCGCGAGCCUGAACCAGCCAAGUCGCGUGAGGGAGGACGGCCCUACGGGUUGUAAACCUCUUUUGCCGGGGAGCAACGGGCGCCACGUGUGGCGCCACUGAGAGUACCCGGAGAAAAAGCAUCGGCUAACUCCGUGCCAGCAGCCGCGGUAAUACGGAGGAUGCGAGCGUUAUCCGGAUUUAUUGGGUUUAAAGGGUGCGUAGGCGGAUCGUUAAGUCAGUGGUCAAAUUGAGGGGCUCAACCCCUUCCCGCCAUUGAAACUGGCGCUCUUGAGUGGAAGAGAAGUAUGCGGAAUGCGUGGUGUAGCGGUGAAAUGCAUAGAUAUCACGCAGAACCCCGAUUGCGAAGGCAGCAUGCCGGCUUCCUACUGACGCUGAAGCACGAAAGCGUGGGGAUCGAACAGGAUUAGAUACCCUGGUAGUCCACGCGGUAAACGAUGAGCGCUAGGUGUCCGGGGGGAAUGGCCCCUGGGUGCCACAGCGAAAGCGU